Molecule: unclassified non-coding RNA, 370 nt
Filed under: Sisymbrium loeselii
Lineage: Eukaryota; Viridiplantae; Streptophyta; Magnoliopsida; Brassicales; Brassicaceae
Description: sequence contains ITS1, 5.8S rRNA gene and ITS2
Source: RNAcentral
UGUUGAGGCUUGAUUUCUCACGGCGKGUCGGGACGCUCCCUGCGUCCGUAGCCCCCAUUUCGGCCGACCUCGUGCGGGAACACGCGGGAGACCAGCUUCGGUCCCGUAUCCUGGAGGAUGGGGGGACCACGAUUUGUGACGCCCAGGCACACGUGCCCUCGGCCAGAAGGCUUGGGGCACAACUUGCGUUCAAAGACUCGAUGGUUCACGGKAUUCUGCAAUUCACACCAAGUAUCKCAUUUCGCUACGUUCUUCAUCGAUGCGAGAGCMGAGAUAUCCGUUGCCGARAGUCGUUUUAGACUUUAUAUUGCCGCACAACGUCCGCRCACACACCGUCUCCGGGUASGCGAACCCUUGCUGUUUUUGUUGC